UUAUCGGAGAGUUUGAUCCUGGCUCAGGACGAACGCUGGCGGCGUGCCUAAUACAUGCAAGUCGAGCGGACAGAUGGGAGCUUGCUCCCUGAUGUUAGCGGCGGACGGGUGAGUAACACGUGGGUAACCUGCCUGUAAGACUGGGAUAACUCCGGGAAACCGGGGCUAAUACCGGAUGCUUGUUUGAACCGCAUGGUUCAAACAUAAAAGGUGGCUUCGGCUACCACUUACAGAUGGACCCGCGGCGCAUUAGCUAGUUGGUGAGGUAACGGCUCACCAAGGCAACGAUGCGUAGCCGACCUGAGAGGGUGAUCGGCCACACUGGGACUGAGACACGGCCCAGACUCCUACGGGAGGCAGCAGUAGGGAAUCUUCCGCAAUGGACGAAAGUCUGACGGAGCAACGCCGCGUGAGUGAUGAAGGUUUUCGGAUCGUAAAGCUCUGUUGUUAGGGAAGAACAAGUACCGUUCGAAUAGGGCGGUACCUUGACGGUACCUAACCAGAAAGCCACGGCUAACUACGUGCCAGCAGCCGCGGUAAUACGUAGGUGGCAAGCGUUGUCCGGAAUUAUUGGGCGUAAAGGGCUCGCAGGCGGUUCCUUAAGUCUGAUGUGAAAGCCCCCGGCUCAACCGGGGAGGGUCAUUGGAAACUGGGGAACUUGAGUGCAGAAGAGGAGAGUGGAAUUCCACGUGUAGCGGUGAAAUGCGUAGAGAUGUGGAGGAACACCAGUGGCGAAGGCGACUCUCUGGUCUGUAACUGACGCUGAGGAGCGAAAGCGUGGGGAGCGAACAGGAUUAGAUACCCUGGUAGUCCACGCCGUAAACGAUGAGUGCUAAGUGUUAGGGGGUUUCCGCCCCUUAGUGCUGCAGCUAACGCAUUAAGCACUCCGCCUGGGGAGUACGGUCGCAAGACUGAAACUCAAAGGAAUUGACGGGGGCCCGCACAAGCGGUGGAGCAUGUGGUUUAAUUCGAAGCAACGCGAAGAACCUUACCAGGUCUUGACAUCCUCUGACAAUCCUAGAGAUAGGACGUCCCCUUCGGGGGCAGAGUGACAGGUGGUGCAUGGUUGUCGUCAGCUCGUGUCGUGAGAUGUUGGGUUAAGUCCCGCAACGAGCGCAACCCUUGAUCUUAGUUGCCAGCAUUCAGUUGGGCACUCUAAGGUGACUGCCGGUGACAAACCGGAGGAAGGUGGGGAUGACGUCAAAUCAUCAUGCCCCUUAUGACCUGGGCUACACACGUGCUACAAUGGACAGAACAAAGGGCAGCGA
Molecule: ribosomal RNA, 1268 nt
Filed under: Bacillus halotolerans
Lineage: Bacteria; Bacillati; Bacillota; Bacilli; Caryophanales; Bacillaceae
Description: bacterial SSU rRNA
Rfam family: Bacterial small subunit ribosomal RNA
Source: RNAcentral